GGGUUGUGAGGUUAAGCGACUAAGCGUACACGGUGGAUGCCCUGGCAGUCAGAGGCGAUGAAGGGCGUGCUAAUCUGCGAUAAGCGCCGGUAAGGUGAUAUGAACCGUUAUAACCGGCGAUACCCGAAUGGGGAAACCCAGUGUGACUCGUCACACUAUCAUUAACUGAAUCCAUAGGUUAAUGAGGCGAACCGGGGGAACUGAAACAUCUAAGUACCCCGAGGAAAAGAAAUCAACCGAGAUUCCCCCAGUAGCGGCGAGCGAACGGGGAGGAGCCCAGAGCCUGAAUCAGCAUGUGUGUUAGUGGAAGCGUCUGGAAAGGCGCGCGAUACAGGGUGACAGCCCCGUACACAAAAGCGCAUGUGCUGUGAGCUCGAUGAGUAGGGCGGGACACGUGGUAUCCUGUCUGAAUAUGGGGGGACCAUCCUCCAAGGCUAAAUACUCCUGACUGACCGAUAGUGAACCAGUACCGUGAGGGAAAGGCGAAAAGAACCCCGGCGAGGGGAGUGAAAAAGAACCUGAAACCGUGUACGUACAAGCAGUGGGAGCCCCACCACUAAGCCAGUGGUGAACUCCACAUACGCAUCCUUUGCUGAAGGCAAUGGUUAACGGAGCGAAAGCGACGUUCAACCGCAAAACAAGCAGAGGGGGCUUAGUGGUGGGGUGACUGCGUACCUUUUGUAUAAUGGGUCAGCGACUUAUAUUCUGUAGCAAGGUUAACCGUAUAGGGGAGCCGGAGGGAAACCGAGUCUUAAUUGGGCGUUAAGUUGCAGGGUAUAGACCCGAAACCCGGUGAUCUAGCCAUGGGCAGGUUGAAGGUUGGGUAACACUAACUGGAGGACCGAACCGACUAAUGUUGAAAAAUUAGCGGAUGACCUGUGGCUGGGGGUGAAAGGCCAAUCAAACCGGGAGAUAGCUGGUUCUCCCCGAAAGCUAUUUAGGUAGCGCCUCGUGAAUUCAUCUCCGGGGGUAGAGCACUGUUUCGGCUAGGGGGCCAUCCCGGCUUACCAACCCGAUGCAAACUGCGAAUACCGGAGAAUGUUAUCACGGGAGACACACGGCGGGUGCUAACGUCCGUCGUGAAGAGGGAAACAACCCAGACCGCCAGCUAAGGUCCCAAAGUCAUGGUUAAGUGGGAAACGAUGUGGGAAGGCCCAGACAGCCAGGAUGUUGGCUUAGAAGCAGCCAUCAUUUAAAGAAAGCGUAAUAGCUCACUGGUCGAGUCGGCCUGCGCGGAAGAUGUAACGGGGCUAAACCAUGCACCGAAGCUGCGGCAGCGA
Molecule: ribosomal RNA, 1280 nt
Filed under: Salmonella enterica subsp. enterica serovar Thompson
Lineage: Bacteria; Pseudomonadati; Pseudomonadota; Gammaproteobacteria; Enterobacterales; Enterobacteriaceae
Description: bacterial LSU rRNA
Rfam family: Bacterial large subunit ribosomal RNA
Source: RNAcentral